GUUAAUUACUUAUCACUUAACAGAAUGGAAAUGAGGAAAGGAAAGGAGAAAGAGAAGGAACAUUUAUUUAGCUCUUCCUAUGUGCUUGCAUUCAGAAUUUUGCCAAGAUUCCUCAUCAUGCCCAUUGGUCAACGGAUUCCAGAUGCCAACUCUUCCCACUUUUUAAAAUAGGACAAAUGUUUGGCAGCUCCAGUUCUGAGGACUUUUCUCAUUUGCUGAUGAUUCCUCAAUGAGAAGAGUCUGGUAAACGAACAGCAGUCCAAAUUUAACUUGACACCCGUGCACCAGGAAGCAUGUUGACACGUGUUUUUAGUAGUACUCUUCAUUAAGGAAAUAAUUCAAGUUGCCUAUCAGCAGUGGAAUGAUUAAAGGUACCGGUUAUCCAUACCAUGGACUAUUACACAGCAGUGAAAUGAAUAGAUCAUGUUACACACGCCAGUCUGGCUGAAUUUCAAAAAGAAUACUGAGCCGAAGAAGCCAAUCAUAAAGUAUGACUUCAAAGACAUUUUCAAAACAGGCAAAACUAAACAUGUACACUGUUUACUGAAACACAUAUGCACUAAAAAGCAAAGGUGUGAUUCACACGAAAUUCAGGACAGUCGUUAUCUCUGAGGGGCGUGGGAGGAGGAAGGAUAUACGAUCUGGGUGGAGCACACAGGAAACUUCUGGGGGACUGGUGAUGUUCCAUUUCUUGGCAUAGAUGAUGGUUUAAAAGCUGUUUAUUGUGUUGUUUAAAUUAUACAUGUAUAUUUUCACAUACAGCUUGUAUAUUUUACAAUGUAAUAAUGGAUCCACAUUCUGGCUGGUGAGGCAGGCUCUCCUAGGCAUCUACCUUUUUAUACACAUAUUAUUCUGGUUUACUGGUCUGUAAUAGAUCCUGCAUUAGCUGGAUUCUGGAAUUCAAU
This 905-nucleotide long non-coding RNA is filed under the name Homo sapiens (human). RNAcentral's name for it is "HSALNT0325360". The record is from RNAcentral. Lineage: Eukaryota; Metazoa; Chordata; Mammalia; Primates; Hominidae.